CUUCCACUGAAGUUCCAGGUUUGUUCAACCGCGUUUGUCUGGUUCUGUGUGCAGAGUCAAGGGAAGACGGGUUCGGACCGGCCCACGCAGAGACCCAAGAAGUCCAAGGACAGCAAACCCAAGGUGAAGAAGCUGAAGUACCAUCAGUACAUCCCUCCGGACCAGAAGGCGGACAAAGAGCGCCCUCCUCAGAUGGACUCCUCCUACGCCAAGCUGCUGCAGCAGCAGCAGCUCUUCCUGCAGCUGCAGAUCCUCUGCCAGCAGCAGCAGCACUACAACUACCACACCAUCCUGCCGGCGCCGCCCAAGUGAGUCGGACACGCCUCCCUGCGUGGCGCCGGGCCGUAAGCGGAAGUUUUUCACCGGUUCUGUUUCCUCUCAGGCCACAAAACGAGCAGACUUCCACCGCCGCUUCAGGCCCCUCCCCCUCCCGCGGCGCCCUCGCCGCAACCCCCAAUCAGAGCGCCACGGCCCGCCAGGCCCAAACUGCAAUGGGAGGAGCCAAGCCAGCCGCCCUGCCGGCCAACCUGGACGAGUUUAAGGUCAAAACUGCCCGAGCGGCCCGUCAUCAUCGGUUCUGACUCGGUUCAGUCUGUUCUUUUGGGCUAAUUUGGCAUCUACUGAUAUUUUUUAUGCUAAUUUGGAGUUUUGCUAAUAUUUUAGCAACAUGCUAACGGUUUUGAUUAAUUCAGUUUACCGAGGAAUUUUAGGGGAUUUUAGAGUUUAGCUAAUAUUUUAGCAACACGCUAACAUUUUAGGCUAAUUUGUAAUCUACUGAUCUAAUUCGGAGUUUAGCUAGUUUUCUAAGCAACAUGCUAGCUUUUUUGGCUAAUUUGGCAUCUACUGAGGUUUUUUUAUGCUAAUUUGGAGUUUAACUAAUAUUUUAACAACACGCUAACAUUUUUGGCUAAUUUGUAAUCUACUGAUCUAUUUUGGAGUUCAGCUAAUAUUUAAGCAACAUACUAGCUUUUUUGGCUAAUUUGGCAUCUACUGAGUUUUUUUAUUCUAAUUUGGAGUUUAGCUAAUAUUUUAGCAACACGCUAACAUUUUUUGGCUUAUUUGUUAUCUACUGAUCUAAUUCAGAGUUUAGCUAGUGUUUAGGCAACAUGCUAGGUUUUUUGGCUAAUUUGGCAUCUACUGAGGUUUUUUAUGCUAAUUUGGAGUUUUGCUAAUAUUUUAGAGACAUGCUAACGACUUUGGCUAAUGCGUUAUCUUCUGAAGUUUCUAUAGGAUAAUUUAGAGUUUAGCUUCUAUUUUAGCAAAAUGCUAACGUUGUUGAUUAAUUCAGUUUACUGAGGAAUUUUAGGGGAUUUUAGAGUUUAGCUAAUAUUAUAGCAACACACUAACAUUUUAGGCUAAUUUGUUAUCUACUGAUCUAAUUUGGAGUUUAGCUAGUUUUCUAAGCAACGUGCUAGCUUUUUUGGAUAAUUUGGCAUCUACUGAGUUUUUUUAUUCUAAUUUGGAGUUUAGCUAAUAUUUUAGCAACACGCUAACAUUUUUUGGCUUAUUUGUUAUUUACUGAUCUAAUUUGGAGUUUAGCUAGUGUUUAAGCAACAUGCUAGGUUUUUUGGCUAAUUUGACAUCUACUGAUAUUUUUUAUGCUAAUUUCAAGUUUUGCUAAUAUUUUAAAGACAUGCUAACGAUUUCAGCUAAUGUGUUAUUUUCUGAGGUUUCUAAAAGGCUAAUUUAGAGUUUAGCUUCUAUUUUAGCAAAAUGCUAACAUUGUUGAUUAAUUCAGUUUACUGAGGAAUUUUAGGGGAUUUUAAAGUAACAAGCUAGCUUUUUUGGCUAAUUUGGCAUCUACUGAGUUUUUUUAUGCUAAUUUGGAGUUUAACUAAUAUUUUAGCAACACGCCACAUUUUUGGCUAAUUUGUUAUCUACUGAUCUAAUUUGGAGUUUAGCUAGUUUCCUAAGCAACGUGCUAGCUUUUUUGGCUAAUUUGGCAUCUACUGAGGUUUUUUAUUCUAAUUUGGAGUUUAGCUAAUAUUUUAGCAACACGCUA
RNAcentral lists this long non-coding RNA (2002 nucleotides) under Oryzias javanicus (javanese ricefish). RNAcentral describes it as "lncRNA (ENSOJAG00000004263.1)". Lineage: Eukaryota; Metazoa; Chordata; Actinopteri; Beloniformes; Adrianichthyidae. The record is from RNAcentral.